Molecule: transfer RNA, 90 nt
Filed under: Cerasicoccus arenae
Lineage: Bacteria; Pseudomonadati; Verrucomicrobiota; Opitutia; Puniceicoccales; Cerasicoccaceae
Description: tRNA-Ser
Rfam family: tRNA
About the family: Transfer RNA (tRNA) molecules are approximately 80 nucleotides in length. Their secondary structure includes four short double-helical elements and three loops (D, anti-codon, and T loops). Further hydrogen bonds mediate the characteristic L-shaped molecular structure. tRNAs have two regions of fundamental functional importance: the anti-codon, which is responsible for specific mRNA codon recognition, and the 3' end, to which the tRNAs corresponding amino acid is attached (by aminoacyl-tRNA synthetases). tRNAs cope with the degeneracy of the genetic code in two manners: having more than one tRNA (with a specific anti-codon) for a particular amino acid; and 'wobble' base-pairing, i.e. permitting non-standard base-pairing at the 3rd anti-codon position.
Source: RNAcentral
GGAGAGGUGACAGAGUGGCCGAUCGUGCUUCCCUGGAAAGGAAGUGUUGUGGAAACGCAACCGAGGGUUCGAAUCCCUCCCUCUCCGCCA